CAGUGUAUGUGUAAGUGUACACACUACAUACAAAUGCACAACUGCAUUCAAAUACCAACAUUCACACACAUACUCCAUAACAUGUUUACAUUCAAACACAAAUAUGUGUGUGAAUGUUGGUAUUUGAAUGCAGGUGUGCAUUUGUAUGUAGUGUGUACACUUACACAUACA
Non-coding RNA from Pelobates cultripes (western spadefoot toad), 171 nucleotides. The record is from the annotation of a GenBank genome assembly. NCBI's taxonomy places the organism in Eukaryota, Metazoa, Chordata, Amphibia, Anura, Pelobatidae.